GAGUAGAGUGGCGAACGGGUGAGUAACGCGUGGAUAAUCUGCCUGAUAGUGGGGGAUAACUCGGGGAAACCCGGGCUAAUACCGCAUGAGACCCUAUUUCGAAGGGCGAAAGGUUAUUAAUCGCUAGACAGAGGAGUCCGCGUCCGAUUAGCUGGUACGGUAGGGGUAACGGCUCACCUAGUGCGACGAUCGGUAGCCGGUCUUGAGAGUGACGGACGGCCACACUGGG
RNAcentral lists this ribosomal RNA (229 nucleotides) under uncultured bacterium. RNAcentral's name for it is "partial 16S ribosomal RNA". It matches the Rfam family "Bacterial small subunit ribosomal RNA", at positions 88 to 317 of the family's 1533-position model. The record is from RNAcentral.